AGCGAAAUGCGAUAAUGGUGUGAAUUGCAGAAUCCCGUGAACCAUCGAGUCUUUGAACGCAAGUUGCGCCCGAGGCCAUCAGGCCAAGGGCACGCCUGCCUGGGCAUUGCGAGUCAUAUCUCUCCCUUAACGAGGCUGUCCAUACACACCUGUUCAGCCGGUGCGGAUGU
This 170-nucleotide ribosomal RNA is filed under the name Paphiopedilum lawrenceanum. RNAcentral's name for it is "5.8S ribosomal RNA". The stretch from base 1 to 109 matches the Rfam family "5.8S ribosomal RNA", at positions 47 to 154 of the family's 154-position model. From Rfam's summary of the family: 5.8S ribosomal RNA (5.8S rRNA) is a component of the large subunit of the eukaryotic ribosome. It is transcribed by RNA polymerase I as part of the 45S precursor that also contains 18S and 28S rRNA. The record is from RNAcentral. Lineage: Eukaryota; Viridiplantae; Streptophyta; Magnoliopsida; Asparagales; Orchidaceae.